RNAcentral lists this unclassified non-coding RNA (391 nucleotides) under soil metagenome. RNAcentral describes it as "partial contains 5.8S ribosomal RNA, internal transcribed spacer 2, and large subunit ribosomal RNA". The stretch from base 1 to 122 matches the Rfam family "5.8S ribosomal RNA", at positions 35 to 154 of the family's 154-position model. The record is from RNAcentral.
GAUGAAGAACGUAGCGAAAUGCGAUACUUGGUGUGAAUUGCAGAAUCCCGUGAACCAUCGAGUCUUUGAACGCAAGUUGCGCCCGAAGCCAUUAGGCCGAGGGCACGCCUGCCUGGGCGUCACACGUCGUUGCCCCCCCAUCUACUCCUUCGGGAUUGCGGGGGGCGGAUGAUGGCCUCCCGUGCGCCUCGUCGCGCGGUUGGCAUAAAUGCCAAGUCCUCGGCGACGCACGCCACGACAAUCGGUGGUUGCGAAACCUCGGUUGCCCGUCAUGUGCGGUCGUCGCGCAUCGAGGGCUCGAAAAAAUUGCCGGGCUUCGGCUCGACUUUCAACGCGACCCCAGGUCAGGCGGGGUUACCCGCUGAAUUUAAGCAUAUCAAUAAGCGGAGGA